This 714-nucleotide long non-coding RNA is filed under the name Felis catus (domestic cat). RNAcentral's name for it is "lncRNA (ENSFCAG00000044563.2)". The record is from RNAcentral. Lineage: Eukaryota; Metazoa; Chordata; Mammalia; Carnivora; Felidae.
GUACUACAGUGAGGACUUUGGAAUAAGCCAUGAAGGAAAUCAAAGUUCUAUAGAAAUAAGAAGAAAAGAGCUUAAUUGGAGAUCCAGAGAGACUUUCUGGAACAGAUGGCACUUGAGCUGAAGAUAGCCAUGCUUGAGGGCAACCUAACCCGUCCCAACAGAGGCAUAGAAUCCAAGAGCGGAACCUCUUCAUGCACAAGAGAAGCCUGAGGCCCAGAGACAGGAAGGAACUUGCCAAGGUUACACAUGACCAUCUUGCAGCCCAACAUCCAGCAAACCACAUUGGAAUACAGCAUGCCACAAUGAUGGUGCUUCAUGACCCAGCCCCAAGAAUGGAUACCUCUUUCGAAGUGUCUACCCAGAGGAGAAGCACCUCCAUCCACACCAAGAGACUGGGCUGUGUUCCUGGAAACAUGAGCCUUUAAAAGUGAAGCUAUAGUGUAAAACAAAUUCAAACAUAAAAAAGCUUUUUCUUUCACCUGAUUUUUGUUCUGGAGCUCUACAUUUAAUGAAAUAUUUAAUGAAAUAUCAGGGUGGAAGGGGCAAAGAGAGGAAAGGUUGCGCUGCUCCCAAGAAUGCACCACAUUUCAGUCCAAAGCAAAUUAAGUCAGGGGCUCUUUAGACUCAAGUCCCGGGAUGAGAAGCAGAGAGUAGGCUAACGGGUUCUGGGCUGAGCCCCAGCCAACUGUGGUAAUAAAACACAGCGCAUAGACA